AGCGUCUUUGAACUCAUACAUACAAAGAAGAGGAAUAGAUUAGAACAUCAUAGGCUUAAUGAUCUUGUGUAUGUUCAUUACAACUUGCGAUUGAAGAAUAGGAGGUAUUACAAAACAAGGAAUUAUGAUCCCAUUGACAUUGAAAGCAUUGACAAAAUCGAGUUUUGGAUUAUUGAAGAAGAAAGACUAGAACAAGAGGAGCCUCCAUUGCUUGAUUAUGAUAA
Molecule: non-coding RNA, 224 nt
Organism: Camellia sinensis
Lineage: Eukaryota; Viridiplantae; Streptophyta; Magnoliopsida; Ericales; Theaceae
Source: RefSeq, a predicted model, not a curated record